This 73-nucleotide transfer RNA is filed under the name Myotis brandtii (Brandt's bat). It matches the Rfam family "tRNA". Rfam says of the family: Transfer RNA (tRNA) molecules are approximately 80 nucleotides in length. Their secondary structure includes four short double-helical elements and three loops (D, anti-codon, and T loops). Lineage: Eukaryota; Metazoa; Chordata; Mammalia; Chiroptera; Vespertilionidae. The record is from Rfam by way of RNAcentral.
GCCUGUUUGGCUCAGUGGAUAGAGCGUCAGCCUGCAGACUGAAGGGUCCCUGGUUUGAUUCCAGUCAAGGGCA